RNAcentral lists this ribosomal RNA (682 nucleotides) under Escherichia sp. RNAcentral's name for it is "bacterial SSU rRNA". It matches the Rfam family "Bacterial small subunit ribosomal RNA", at positions 764 to 1446 of the family's 1533-position model. The record is from RNAcentral. Lineage: Bacteria; Pseudomonadati; Pseudomonadota; Gammaproteobacteria; Enterobacterales; Enterobacteriaceae.
GGGAGCAAACAGGAUUAGAUACCCUGGUAGUCCACGCCGUAAACGAUGUCGACUUGGAGGUUGUGCCCUUGAGGCGUGGCUUCCGGAGCUAACGCGUUAAGUCGACCGCCUGGGGAGUACGGCCGCAAGGUUAAAACUCAAAUGAAUUGACGGGGGCCCGCACAAGCGGUGGAGCAUGUGGUUUAAUUCGAUGCAACGCGAAGAACCUUACCUGGUCUUGACAUCCACGGAACUUUCCAGAGAUGAGAAGGUGCCUUCGGGAACCGUGAGACAGGUGCUGCAUGGCUGUCGUCAGCUCGUGUUGUGAAAUGUUGGGUUAAGUCCCGCAACGAGCGCAACCCUUAUCCUUUGUUGCCAGCGGUCCGGCCGGGAACUCAAAGGAGACUGCCAGUGAUAAACUGGAGGAAGGUGGGGAUGACGUCAAGUCAUCAUGGCCCUUACGACCAGGGCUACACACGUGCUACAAUGGCGCAUACAAAGAGAAGCGACCUCGCGAGAGCAAGCGGACCUCAUAAAGUGCGUCGUAGUCCGGAUUGGAGUCUGCAACUCGACUCCAUGAAGUCGGAAUCGCUAGUAAUCGUGGAUCAGAAUGCCACGGUGAAUACGUUCCCGGGCCUUGUACACACCGCCCGUCACACCAUGGGAGUGGGUUGCAAAAGAAGUAGGUAGCUUAACCUUCGGG